Molecule: long non-coding RNA, 1130 nt
Organism: Myotis daubentonii (Daubenton's bat)
Lineage: Eukaryota; Metazoa; Chordata; Mammalia; Chiroptera; Vespertilionidae
Exons: 3
Source: RefSeq, a predicted model, not a curated record
UGCCUGUGCCGGCCCCACGGUCAGAAAGCUCCCCUAAAAAGUGGGAGAAUCCGAUCUUCGCGCGGUGCAGGUUCGUCUCCUAACCCAGCGGGUCAGGCCCGGCCUCCGUCUGACCUUCGCUCCGGAAUCCGGAUGGGCCUGGAGCGCUCUAGGAAAGAGAUGGAGGAAUGACCGGAGUGGAGCGACAGAGGGGAGAAAGGAACACAGAAAAUGCAAAGAAAGAAAACGAGGGAAAGCUGUUGAUUUUGUUUUGUUUUGUUUUGUUUUUGAUUCAUUGUAUUCUCCCCCCUCCUCCCCCAGAGGAAGGAAGAGGGAGAGAUAGAAACAUCAAUCAUUGAUCAGCUGCCUCCUGCACGCCCACACCGGAGAUUGAGCCGCAACCUGGGCAUGUGCCCUUGACUGGAACUGAACCCAGGACCCUUCAGUCUGUAGGCCGACUGCUUUAGCCACUGAGCCAAACCAGCUGGAGCUCAUUUUAUUCUUAACUUCCCUCCCUCCUUGACUCUGGCGUAAAAGGUGUUAUUCUUAUUUUACCCGAGAGGAAACUGAAGCACAGAGAGAGGAGUGACCUACCCCAAGUCACAGCAAGUUUGAAACAGCCCCUGAGCUCUGACUGGGGAGCACGCAGGCCACUGAAGACAAAGUGAGAAGACAGCUGUCUACAGCCAGGAAGAGGGCCUCCACCAGGAGCAAAGGUGGCCGGCACCUUGAUCUUGGACUUCUCAGCCCCGAGAGCUAUCCCUUCUCAACCUCUCAGUCAACUGAAGCCUCUCUGGACUUCACAGCCUCGUUUGGUGCAGUUCCAGUUUGCAGCCACUCACGGCGUGUUGUCCAUGCCAGGCUCUGGGUCGGGCACUGCGCACCCAGGAUUAAAAAGUGCCCACCCAGUCCCCACCCCAGAGGAGUGCAGCCUGGUGAGGUGGCAGACAGGUCGAUAACCGCUAACCAUCGCCAGGAUGUCGUGUGGUAGGCUGGAUAAGCCUGAAAGCCCAGCGAGUGUCCCACCCUCAGGCCCAUAAGAGCAGACUUGCUCUGAGGGAGGAGUUCUCUCCCAAGUUGCCAUGGUGUAAGCCUCCUGCAGCCAGUGGCCUCAGUCCACAUGCUGGCCCUGGCUCAUACUACCGGCCUCG